CUUUUUCUCCUCAGACACGUCUCUCUUGUCAGAAGGCAAAGUCUUUCUCAGAAGCCCCAGAAGACAUCCUCUGGUCCUGGCCAGAACUGGUCAACUGGCCACGUCUGCCUGCGAGAAGACCGGGUGUCACUGUUUUAUAAAGACCACAGUGCCCACAACUGACGGGGUUCUUAGCAGGGGCACCUGCUCCUCUGGAGGUACUGGAAACAGAGAAGGGGCACUUUUGGUCGUCACAGAAAAAAAAAGAGGUGCUACUGGCAUGUUGUGGAUUAGUUUAAGGAUGCUAAAUGUUCUAAAAUGCACAGAACCCUUCUACACACAAAACAAGAUUUGUCUUACUCAAAAUACCAAGAGCAGUGCUAUUAAGAAACACUGGGCUCAAACCAACGAUCAUUCACCCCAUGGGCUGAAGGUAUCACGACUCGAACACAAUCUGGGGGCCAAGAGCAAGAAGGAGAACACGGCUCCCAGCAGAGGUGCCCUGGUACCCCGGUGGGGGUCGGGAGGAGGGUGCGUAAUCGUGCUGGCACGUUGAGUCCUUUUCAGAAAGUACUGUUACUUACAACGAAUGGAGAGCAAGACAGGGAAAUCAACUCCAAGGGCUGCCUUUAUUUUUCCUAAUGAAGAGAUUUCCCCGUGAUUGGACAAGCCUGUUUCCAGGAACAAGCUUCAGCAAUAUGUGAACCGUGAACUUCCUGAUGUUCAAGCUGGUUUUAGAAAAGGCAGAGGAACCAGAGAACAAAUUGCCAACAUCCACUGGGUCAUGGAAAAAGCAAGAGAGUUCCAGAAAAACAUCUAUUUCUGCUUCAUUGACUAUGCCAAAGCCUUUGACUGUGUGGAUCACAAUAAACUGUGGAAAAUUCUGAAAGAGAUGGGAAUACCAGAGCACCUGACCUGCCUCUUGAGAAAUCUGUAUGCAGGUCAGGAAGCAACAGUUAGAACUGGACAUGGAACAACAGACUGGUUCCAAAUAGGAAAAGGAGUACGUCAAGGCUGUAUGUUGUCACCCUGCUUAUUUAACUUCUAUGCAGAGUACAUCAUGAGAAAUGCUGUACUGGAAGAAACACAAGCUGGAAUCAAGAUUUCCAGGAGAAAUAUCAAUCACCUCAGAUAUGCAGAUGACACCACCCUAUGGCAGAAAGUGAAGAGGAACUCAAAAGCCUCUUGAUGAAAGUGAA
Bos taurus (domestic cattle) is the source of this 1178-nucleotide long non-coding RNA. The record is from Ensembl. Lineage: Eukaryota; Metazoa; Chordata; Mammalia; Artiodactyla; Bovidae.